Molecule: long non-coding RNA, 726 nt
Organism: Drosophila sechellia
Lineage: Eukaryota; Metazoa; Arthropoda; Insecta; Diptera; Drosophilidae
Exons: 2
Source: RefSeq, a predicted model, not a curated record
UUUAUUUAUCCCGAUUACCCCAAUGAUUAUCCUUCGAAAAGGCUUAGCCUCUUGGUAAAACAAAUUUAAUUUCCAUAUAGGUAGGAUAUCUUAUAAAACUGUCCCACUUCAAAAUCUCGUCACAUAAUAAGCAUAAAGUUGAAGCAUCUUAAAAGGUAUGAUUUUUAGGACAUAUUAAUUUACUUAAUAAGUAGGCAUUGAACAUACGGUAUUUUUUUAUGGUUUAUCUAAGCAACAGCCACAUUAUCAUGACCCACAAUUCUAUGAAGUCCUUAACAAUAGGUUUUAUUUAUCCCGAUUACCCCAAUGAUUAUCCUUCGAAAAGGCUUAGCCUCUUGGUAAAAUAUACUUAUAAUCCCUAUAGGUAGGGUGUGUUAUAAAACUGUCCCAAUUCAAAUAGAGUCUCGUAAUAAACAAAAGUUAAAGCAACGCGAAGGAUGGGAUUUUUAGGGCAUACUAAAAUAAAUAAUAGGCAUUGAACAUACGGAAUUUUUAUAUGGUAUAUCUAAACAACUGCAACAUUACUCCCACAAUUAUAUUAACUCUUUAACAAGAUAUUUUAUUUAUCCCAAUUACCCCAAUGAUUAUCCUUCGAAAAGGCUUAGCCUCUUGGUAAAAUAUACUUAUAAUCCCUAUAGGUAGGGUGUGUUAUAAAACUGCCCCAAUUCAAAUAGAGUCUCGUAAUAAACAAAAGUUAAAGCAACGCGAAGGAUGGGAUUUUUAGGG